GAUGAACGCUGGCGGCGUGCCUAAUACAUGCAAGUCGAGCGAACAGACGAGGAGCUUGCUCCUCUGACGUUAGCGGCGGACGGGUGAGUAACACGUGGAUAACCUACCUAUAAGACUGGGAUAACUUCGGGAAACCGGAGCUAAUACCGGAUAAUAUAUUGAACCGCAUGGAUCAAUAGUGAAAGACGGUUUUGCUGUCACUUAUAGAUGGAUCCGCGCCGCAUUAGCUAGUUGGUAAGGUAACGGCCUACCAAGGCAACGAUGCGUAGCCGACCUGAGAGGGUGAUCGGCCACACUGGAACUGAGACACGGUCCAGACUCCUACGGGAGGCAGCAGUAGGGAAUCUUCCGCAAUGGGCGAAAGCCUGACGGAGCAACGCCGCGUGAGUGAUGAAGGUCUUCGGAUCGUAAAACUCUGUUAUUAGGGAAGAACAAAUGUGUAAGUAACUAUGCACGUCUUGACGGUACCUAAUCAGAAAGCCACGGCUAACUACGUG
This 497-nucleotide ribosomal RNA is filed under the name uncultured bacterium. RNAcentral's name for it is "partial 16S ribosomal RNA". It matches the Rfam family "Bacterial small subunit ribosomal RNA", at positions 28 to 507 of the family's 1533-position model. The record is from RNAcentral.